GACGAACGCUGGCGGCGUGCCUAAUACAUGCAAGUCGAACGAGAGCGCCCGGUGCUUGCACUGGUCAAUCUAGCGGCGAACGGGUGAGUAACACGUGGGUAACCUGCCCAUCAGAGGGGGAUAACAUCCGGAAACGGAUGCUAAAACCGCAUAGGUCUUCGAACCGCAUGGUUCGAAGAGGAAAAGAGGCGCAAGCUUCUGCUGAUGGCUGGACCCGCGGUGCAUUAGCUAGUUGGUGAGGUAACGGCUCACCAAGGCCGUGAUGCAUAGCCGACCUGAGAGGGUGAUCGGCCACAUUGGGACUGAGACACGGCCCAGACUCCUACGGGAGGCAGCAGUAGGGAAUCUUCCGCAAUGGGCGCAAGUCUGACGGAGCAACGCCGCGUGAGUGAAGAAGGUUUUCGGAUCGUAAAACUCUGUUGUUAGGGAAGAAUAAGUGCUAGAGUAACUGUUAGCGUCUUGACGGUAUCUAACCAGAAAGCCACGGCUAACUACGUG
RNAcentral lists this ribosomal RNA (498 nucleotides) under uncultured bacterium. RNAcentral describes it as "partial 16S ribosomal RNA". It matches the Rfam family "Bacterial small subunit ribosomal RNA", at positions 28 to 507 of the family's 1533-position model. The record is from RNAcentral.